This is an RNA transcript of Ostrinia furnacalis (Asian corn borer), 716 nucleotides long. RefSeq lists it as uncharacterized. The record is from RefSeq and is a predicted model, not a curated record. NCBI's taxonomy places the organism in Eukaryota, Metazoa, Arthropoda, Insecta, Lepidoptera, Crambidae. The transcript is spliced from 5 exons.
UUAUAAGCCGGAUCACCACUGCUAGGUCUCAUUUUGUUCGUUUCGUUUGCGACAGACAGCUACAUUCAAAAAAUAAAAUAUGAAAUCGAUAAUCCCACUGUGUCUACUUGCCCUGUCUGUGGCCCAGGACACCCAGGAUGAAGAGGGUGAACAUCUUCCGUACACAGUAAAAUAACGCUCAAUAACAACUUUAUUUACAAAAAUAGGUAAGGAGGGUGAAUGUUCAAGAUCCCUCAUUUAAAAAUAUUCUCCACAAACUCAAAGCAUUUUAGUAAAUCUAUCUAUGACACCCGAUAUUUUGAGCGUUGUCUUAUUGUGAACAGUGUUAUGUGUACGAAUUAAAUGCCACGAUUGAUUAUCAUCGCGACGCUGACUUAAAAAACAGUACCUCCCACCAUUUCAUCUUUAGCGAAAAGGGCACCAUUUAUGAAGCUGAUGGCUAUAUCAUAAACGAAGACAGCGACGCUGAAUACCUGAAAGUAUUUGGUUUAGGCUCUAUCUGGACUACAAUAAAAAUUUCAUCAAUCUUUGAGGAUUAUUACCGCCAGUAUAUUAAAGAUCAGAAGGGAUAUACACCUCAUCUCGAAAGGGAAUGCUCAACAAAUUGAAUGCUCAUUGAUAUGAGUAUAAGACCACACAAAACUGAUGUCUUGUUCAAAGGCUUGUUGGCGGAAAAUAUAUGCAAAUUGUUUUUUUAAUUAAAUACACAUACUAUU